RNAcentral lists this transfer-messenger RNA (425 nucleotides) under Candidatus Omnitrophota. RNAcentral's name for it is "JAHFHB01 sp023247135 X1 Standard tmRNA". It matches the Rfam family "transfer-messenger RNA". Rfam says of the family: Bacterial tmRNA, also known as 10Sa RNA or SsrA, is named for its dual tRNA and mRNA-like properties. The record is from RNAcentral. Lineage: Bacteria; Pseudomonadati. RNAcentral also lists the same sequence under 1 other name.
GGGGGUGAAUAGGUUCGACAGGGGAUCCUUGUCUGAGAGGGAGCAUGCAGAGGUUGUCGGGAGGCCUCUUACCCCGCAAGGGGGACGUGGAAACACGGAAAAACCUGACACAAUAUAAAUGCUGACAACAUCAGCUGGAGUGAAAGAGCAGUCGGACCCAUCGCGGGCCCGGUGCCUUUCGCUCUUCCUAUCGCUGCUUAAUUGACAGCGACGUUAUGCGGCCGAUAUCUGCUGAGCCUGCAUAGCGACAUUUAGCAGAUUGCCUCAUCAACCCGGCUACGGGGUUGAUGACAAGCCCAUGUAGCUCGUUCGGCGAAAUCCCGUUUACAGGAGUUUGCCGGAUAAAAUCAAAUUGUGAACUGAGCAUGGAGACCCUUCUCACUCAAAUUUCCUGGACGAGGGUGCAAUUCCCUCCACCUCCACCA